CCUACGGGAGGCAGCAGUGAGGAAUAUUGGUCAAUGGGCGAGAGCCUGAACCAGCCAAGUCGCGUGAGGGAGUACUGCCCUAUGGGUUGUAAACCUCUUUUGUCGGGGAGCAAAAGCCGGACGUGUCCGGCUGUGAGAGUACCCGAAGAAAAAGCAUCGGCUAACUCCGUGCCAGCAGCCGCGGUAAUACGGAGGAUGCGAGCGUUAUCCGGAUUUAUUGGGGUUAAAGGGUGCGCAGGCGGAUUUUUAAGUCAGCGGUCAAAUCGUGGGGCUCAACCCCAUCCAGCCGUUGAAACUGGGGAUCUAGAGUGUGCGAGAGGUAUGCGGAAUGCGUGGUGUAGCGGUGAAAUGCAUAGAUAUCACGCAGAACCCCGAUUGCGAAGGCAGCAUACCGGUGCACAACUGAUGCUCAGGCACGAAAGCGUGGGUAUCGAACAGGAUUAGAUACCCCAGUAGUC
RNAcentral lists this ribosomal RNA (458 nucleotides) under uncultured bacterium. Its description in RNAcentral is "partial 16S ribosomal RNA". It matches the Rfam family "Bacterial small subunit ribosomal RNA", at positions 338 to 795 of the family's 1533-position model. The record is from RNAcentral.